Molecule: long non-coding RNA, 3874 nt
Organism: Gasterosteus aculeatus aculeatus (three-spined stickleback)
Lineage: Eukaryota; Metazoa; Chordata; Actinopteri; Perciformes; Gasterosteidae
Source: Ensembl
GGCUGGUGGAGCUUUGAGAGAUUUUUCCGUACGUGCAAACUCAUUACAGGUGAAAAAGGUGGUCCACCCGUUGAGUCUACUCCAAAAAGGGAGCUAAUGUAGAAUCAUUUAUCAAACAUAUUAGGCAGAUUCACGUGGACGCCAUAUUUUGAUUUCAAAAUGGCAAAACAAACGCAGGAGGUUUGCAGGUAUGUUAUUCUAAAUGGUAAAUGGUAUAAAUGGUAAAUGGACUGUACUUGUAUAGCACUUUUCUAGUCUUCUGACCACUCAAAGCGCUUUAACACUACAUGACAUCAUUCACCCAUUCACACACUGAUGACAGGAGAACCACACACAGUGACACAGUGACACCUGUCCAUCAGUAACCAACAAUCACACACUGUAGUCGCAGCUACAGGAGCAAUGUUGGGUUAAGUGUUUUUCCCAAGGACACAACGACAUGCGGGUUAGCAGAGCCUGGGAUCGAACCGACAACCCUCUGAUUGGACAGAGGGCUGCAGGGUCUGAUUACAGAGCUGCAUCUGGUUGGUUGGUGCUUAAAUGUGGACACGCCCCACUCAGCUGGUCACAUAUUCCUUCCGCUUUAGCUCCAUUUUUGAUCACGGCGAAGGUAAGAUAUGAUUCAUGCUUCAGCUGCUUGUUUGUUCUUUUGUUGAGUUUUAAUGAUGAUAUAUAUCACGUGUGUAGAUAGAUGAUGGAGCAGUAGUUUUUGAUGUGUGCUGAUGUAGUGUCCUGGGUUUUGGAAUUGUGUUUAAUUAAGAGUAAAAAUGGUUAUCGUGAUCUUUGACCCAAUCUUCUGGCCCAGUUUGUAGGUUUGUGGGAUGAAAAUGUUUCGAACGACUCUUUCUUCGAGUCAUUUGGGGGGGGUAAGAUAUUACCGAUACCAGUAAGAUGAACACAUUUUUUCUUUGAGAGGACUCGUUACUCUCGAGUCCUUGUAAGGAUUCACGGGUCGUACGGUUCACGAACGACACAUCACUAGAAAACGGUGAGUGAUGGCUUCAAUAAUUGUAAUAUUUUCUGGUAUAUCUUAAGUUACCCAGGAGCUUUGUUGACAUAUACUUAGCUAAUGUUAGCUACAGCUUGAUGAAUUGAGUCAUUUACCGCGACGUUGGCCAGCUAGCUAAAGCUCCGGUAGCUAACGCUAGCGUUUUUGACAAGGCAGAAGGUAAAGUGCUCCACCGUUCUAUCAAUAAGCAGACCUGCCAACCUGAUAAGCAUUUUGGCAUUUUGACUUCAAAGUACGCUGGUACGACUUCACUCUCAACUACGCAAAAAUUUGUUUAAAAUUCAUUUUAGACUAGUUGACCAGCACACAUUAUAUGCAAUGCAAUAUAUUGCAUGACGAGUAUUUAAUGAAUUGUUCCCUAUUAGUUGUUGUCAAUUCCCAUCCCCCCCUCGUCGGUACCCCCUGGGACAAAACCAGUUGAAAACCUCUAGAGGGGUAAUCUCCUUCUCACCUUUUUCACCCUUGACCCGUUUUCAUGCCUGUCAUUAGAAAAUCAAAUUAUCCAUUAACUACAUAUUUCUCCUCAGGUUGCUGCUAGGCCUGGCCGGGAUGGCCCAAAAUCCAUAUUACAGCAUUUAUAAAGAUUCUGACCGACUGGUCAUGGAUGUGUAUGCUGAUCUCUGCCGUUCAUUUGGACCCUGCUGAAUAGUACAUUGAGUGGAGACCAAUUCUACGACUACUAGGCCAUAAGACUUCCUGUGUGGAUAGCUUCCUUGCUCCACGCUGCCAAACGCCUGAAGAGUGACUGCGCCCGUCGCAAGAAGGUCUACAGGCUCCUGCAAAGGAAACUGACACCACGAUGGUCCGCCUCCGAAAUCACCUGAAAUGUGCCUUUGCUUUCAGACGAUUCAAACUGUCCAACCACCACGGCUGUCUGCUCUCGGUGUGUUCACCCAGUCCUCUAGUUCGUUCUCUGUUUCGGGCCAGUGGCACUUUCUUCCUCUGACUGCUUUGUGAGACUUCUUGCAUCUUCUCCUUCUUGCAAGUUCUGCAGCCUCCAAUCUGGAACCAUGGACUCCUUGAUCCGUUUGAGUGCCGCAGCUCGGUUCCCCUUUCAAUGGCCACGUCAAUAGCCUUUAGUUUAAAAGCCGCUGUCACACGUUACAGCGUGUCUUCGACAUGUUUAUAUCUGGGGAUGAGCGAUGGCGGGAAUAAAUACCGAAAUCAACCACGCCCUUAUUUUAUCCGCCGGGGUCAAAGGUGAGAAUAAAGGAAAGUAACAAGUUUCGGCUUAAAACCGGCAUUUAAGGAUACUUUCAGUAUGUGUCCUGGGUUAGUUUUAAGAUGUGAGCCAAUGUAACCGGUCCAGACCUAGAGGUGUCUGGACCGGUAACAUGUGAUUCACACUGGAUUAAUGAAGAGACAUACAUCGUGGGUACGUCUUCAUCGAGCCAGCGUCAUUUCAUUCUGGCUCACGUCGCUUGGUUUGCUCCCCGGUGGCACACAUUCGCCAUCUAACGAUGUGGAGGAGUAGGUCCACGAUGCGUUUGACUGCUCAAAAACCUAUUACAUCACCACUGGAAUACAGGAGCCGCAGCAUGGACACAACAGGAAAGUAGAAACCUGAAAUAAAAGUCUGAGAAUAACCGUCUACCAUUUGAAGAGAGUGAGACACAACAUUGAUAGUUGGUCCUCACUAACCACUAUUUAACUAUUUAGACCUACAGUAUUCUUGUAAAACCCCUUAAACGGAUUAUAUAUCCCACCUGGACAGGUCUGGGAAAGUCGGGACUACCUUGCUUUACAUUGACCUGGAUAAGAGAAAAUGGACGAAAAAACUAUUUUUUUAGCAUUGACUAUUAGUUAUGAAAUAGUAUUCCCAGGUGUUCCUAUUUCUUUUCUUUGAUUCCCAGAUGUACACGGGGUCGGUGUGAAGGGGGGGGAUCGGUGCCACCCCACAUACGUCUACCCUGAGGAGGUGAAACAGUUGAUUCGUUGUGUGUUCUCACAGGACAUCUGUGACUACCCCGACCCCUGCCACGACCAGGUGGUGUACGUCACUCUGGAGGAUUUGCACAAAGUUGACAUCAACUGAAGUGUGUGUCUCUUCUUCUAUGCUGAUGAACAACUUCCAGUCAUGGAUCAGCAACAGUUUUGCAAUGUGGGAAGUUGAUUCUCGAGGGUGUUGAUUGAAAGCUUAUUUCAAGAUGUUUUACUGAGUGGUUUCAGUGUCCCUCAACAUGAAUAUUAGGGUUUACAAAUAUUGUAUAUUUAUAUUGGAUCUCCACUCUUGACAAAUUACAGCUGUCAAGCUCAAAUGCUGAUCCACUAUAAGAACCGACUACAGCAUCUGACCGUUUGUGUAGUUACAAUGCCAAGUAGAAUUCACAAUACAUUCAUUGUAUUUAAUUGUAAUUAAUAUGGAGGGACAAUUUUACUCUGUAAUACAAACAGUAAUAAAACAGUGUUUUCUGUUAUUUUUUCCAAUAAAAGAAUAAAAAGUGUUCCACUACCAAUAGGGUUGUAUUUAAUCCGAAAACAUCUAGAUGUCGAGAAGAAAACAACCUUGAAACCUUGAGGCAGCGGUGUCCAGAUUUGAUGAUGUAAAGAUGCCUGGGGGCCAAUAGUACCUUCUGACAUUUUUAACCAUAAAAGUUACAUGAGAUACACGUUCAUUGUCACCAUUAUCUAGUUUUUUUCCAAUGGCAAUGUAGCCAACGAUAUUCCACUCAGGCAGGCAUCGACAACUCUAAAAGCACUGGUUUGUCUUUUAUUCAUCAUUGAACGAACUCCAUGAAGUUGAUAAAUACCUUUUUACAUUGUGAUCCUUUUAAACAGGAUUGAAUAAAUAACUCUGCUAAAGGAGGAAUUGCAUUUUAAAGUUUCAUGGUUUAUUUAACUGUGCUAGCAGGACAUACACAAUAC